UACAGAGGGUGCGAGCGUUAAUCGGAAUUACUGGGCGUAAAGCGCGCGUAGGCGGCUUUGCAAGUCGAACGUGAAAUCCCAGGGCUCAACCCUGGAACUGCCUUUGAUACUGACGAUCUGGAGAUCGGGAGAGGUUGGUGGAAUUCCGAGUGUAGAGGUGAAAUUCGUAGAUAUUCGGAGGAACACCAGAAGCGAAGGCGGCCAACUGGCCCGAUACUGACGCUGAGGCGCGAAAGCGUGGGGAGCAAACAGG
This 253-nucleotide ribosomal RNA is filed under the name uncultured bacterium. RNAcentral's name for it is "partial 16S ribosomal RNA". It matches the Rfam family "Bacterial small subunit ribosomal RNA", at positions 524 to 776 of the family's 1533-position model. The record is from RNAcentral.